GAUCAUGGCUCAGGAUGAACGCUAGCGGCAGGCUUAACACAUGCAAGUCGAGGGGUAGAGGAAGCUUGCUUCCUUGAGACCGGCGCACGGGUGCGUAGCGCGUAUGCAAUCUACCUUAUACAGGGGGAUAGCCCAGAGAAAUUUGGAUUAAUACCCCAUAGUAUAAUUGAAUGGCAUCAUUUAAUUAUUAAAGUUCCAACGGUAUAAGAUGAGCAUGCGUCCCAUUAGCUAGUUGGUGUGGUAACGGCACACCAAGGCGACGAUGGGUAGGGGUCCUGAGAGGAGAUCCCCCACACUGGUACUGAGGCACGGACCAGACUCCUACGGGAGGCAGCAGUGAGGAAUAUUGGUCAAUGGGCGCAAGCCUGAACCAGCCAUGCCGCGUGCAGGAUGACGGUCCUAUGGAUUGUAAACUGCUUUUGUACAGGAAGAAACACUCCCUCGUGAGGGAGCUUGACGGUACUGUAAGAAUAAGGAUCGGCUAACUCCGUG
RNAcentral lists this ribosomal RNA (492 nucleotides) under uncultured bacterium. RNAcentral describes it as "bacterial SSU rRNA". It matches the Rfam family "Bacterial small subunit ribosomal RNA", at positions 15 to 507 of the family's 1533-position model. The record is from RNAcentral.